Molecule: long non-coding RNA, 785 nt
Organism: Malus domestica (apple)
Lineage: Eukaryota; Viridiplantae; Streptophyta; Magnoliopsida; Rosales; Rosaceae
Source: RefSeq, a predicted model, not a curated record
UAGUCCUUUACAUAAAGAAACUGCGCAACGAGGAAUGUCCAUUCGGGACCUCCGUUCAAAUUUUUUCCAUGAAAUUGAAUGGAUUUUGAAGCAUUUUCCUUCUGUUUUUUUUUUUCCACCCAGUUUGGGUCAAUUGGAAUGCAGAUUGAGGAUCUUUUGGUGUUGGGAAGUAUUUCACGCUUUGAUGGCUCUGUCUCACUGUCUGACUGUCUGAAUUUUCAUAUUCCAGGUAAAUAAUGAUGGUUCAGUUCAGCUAUCUGAUGCACUUUCACUCGAUGCGUAUACUUAUCGUGCAAGAAACUAUCUGAUUAUGAAAGGCUAGUUCAGAUUACCUUCUCAUCGCCAUAUCUGGCCCAAAAGCGUGCAGUGGCUCGCUCAAGAGGAUCUUCCGGCAGUAAGGGAUUCUCCUUCCAUGUUUCGUCGACAUAUUCAAGAAUUAUGAGUGACUCAACAACUGCAUUUCCAUUGUGCAGGAGCACUGGAAUUUUCUUAUGAAUAGGGUUAGACUGAAGAAGUAAAGGGCUUUUGUUCGAAAGAUCUUCGUAGAUUGUUUCGUAAGGGAUGCCUUUAAGUUGCAGCGCCCAAACGAUUCUCAGGCCGAAAGGGCUUGACCAUGUCCUAAGGAGUUUCACUUCUGCCAUUUUUGCUGGUAGUUUGAGCUAUCUUCUGCUAGGCAGGCCUUUUAUGCUUAAUUUUCAGUGUGGAAUUUCGCAUUGUCUCCCUAGACUUCAUUGUAUUUAUUAUUGAAGCCUUCUAUAUUGUAAAAUUUGAAUUGCUCCCCCGUA